GAAGAGCUCCUUAAAGCCACAACACACUAUCUGCAUCAUGUGCGAGUGUGUCACUGAGUCACUUCAGUUGUAUCCGCUUCUUUACAACCCCAUGGACUGUAGUCCGCCAGGCUCCUCUGUCCAUGGCAUUCUCCAGGCAAGAAUAUACUGGAGUGGGUUGCCAUGGCCUCCUCCAGGGGAUCUUCCUGACCCAGGGAUCAAAUCCAUGUCUCUUACAACUCCUGCACUGGCAGGCAAGUUCUUUACCACUAGCGCCACCUGGGAAGCCCUAUCAGCAUUAUAAAUGUCAACAAUUUAAAGACAAUUUAACAAAACUCAGGAAGGAAAAAGGUGGAGUAUCUGUAAAUGUCCUAAUUUCCUCAUCUUUCAUAACUAGUUGAUGAAGACCACCUAAAAUUAAUGUCAAUAAAUACAGGUGGAUUCUUAACCACUGGACCACCAGGGAAACCCAGGACUGCUACAGACCACAAAUACAAUUAUCGACUCUUGGAAAUCUCAUCUACAGAGGAACCUGGUGGGCUGCAGUCCAUGGGUCACAAAGAGUCAGACAUGACUUAGUGACUCAGCAACAACAAAGGUGUCCAAGUAGAAUGCUAUUACAUACAAUUCAAUAAACUUGGAUCUAAAAACAUGAUAUAUUUUAAUCCGCAGAUAUAAAAGAGUACCUGCAUUUUAUAAUAUUUUAUAGAUAAUUUCUAAAUUAAAUGAUAAGUAAGAUGAUUGAGUAAAGAAGACGCACAGAAUUAUAA
Molecule: long non-coding RNA, 749 nt
Organism: Bos taurus (domestic cattle)
Lineage: Eukaryota; Metazoa; Chordata; Mammalia; Artiodactyla; Bovidae
Source: Ensembl